CGCCAGACUCCUACGGGAGGCAGCAGUGGGGAAUAUUGCACAAUGGGGGAAACCCUGAUGCAGCGACGCCGCGUGAGUGAAGAAGUAUUUCGGUAUGUAAAGCUCUAUCAGCAGGGAAGAAAAUGACGGUACCUGACUAAGAAGCCCCGGCUAACUACGUGCCAGCAGCCGCGGUAAUACGUAGGGGGCAAGCGUUAUCCGGAUUUACUGGGUGUAAAGGGAGCGUAGGCGGCACGGCAAGUCAGAUGUGAAAGCCCGGGGCUCAACCCCGGGACUGCAUUUGAAACUGUCAGGCUGGAGUGCAGGAGAGGUAAGUGGAAUUCCUAGUGUAGCGGUGAAAUGCGUAGAUAUUAGGAGGAACACCAGUGGCGAAGGCGGCUUACUGGACUGUAACUGACGUUGAGGCUCGAAAGCGUGGGGAGCAAACAGGAUUAGAUACCCCGGUA
This 446-nucleotide ribosomal RNA is filed under the name uncultured bacterium. RNAcentral's name for it is "bacterial SSU rRNA". It matches the Rfam family "Bacterial small subunit ribosomal RNA", at positions 329 to 792 of the family's 1533-position model. The record is from RNAcentral.